GCGUCGGUAGCGCAACGGUUCAACAAGCGCUCCUGGAAAGAGUGAAACGUGGGUUCGAAUCCCACCUAACGCA
Non-coding RNA from Parelaphostrongylus tenuis, 73 nucleotides. NCBI's taxonomy places the organism in Eukaryota, Metazoa, Nematoda, Chromadorea, Rhabditida, Metastrongylidae. The record is from the annotation of a GenBank genome assembly.